Molecule: long non-coding RNA, 542 nt
Filed under: Zonotrichia albicollis (white-throated sparrow)
Lineage: Eukaryota; Metazoa; Chordata; Aves; Passeriformes; Passerellidae
Description: lncRNA (ENSZALG00000010032.1)
Source: RNAcentral
AAAAAUACGAGCCCCGAACGGAGGUAGGAGCCUGUUUGGUCCAGGGGAGCUUCCCAAAGACGAUCAGCUGGUGUGAGCUGCCCUGCACUGCUCCGAGCCGCGGCAGCAGCGCCCGAGCCGCAGCAUCCCGAGCUGGGCUGGGGAUGAGGCAGCGCAGGUACCUCGGGUACCACCCCGCAAACAUCCCUGCCCUGCCCUCCUCUGUGACAGGAGUGACAGUCUGAGUGAAAGGAAGGCACCUCCGAGGUGAUUACGACAGAGUAAAAACUCCUUCAUCUCUGCUGCUGCAGCGUCACCUCGCUACAAAAAGUCCAGUGCUCUUGAGGAACAAGAAACCACCCAAGCUUAACCCACCAAAAAGAAAGGUUACUGAGUCUCUGCUGAAACCUCAAGGAGGAGAGCCUGUCCCCAGCUGGAGAAGCAGCAGGGAGGAGCUCUUUCUGCUCUCCACUGAUAAAAUCCAUGGGUCCAUGGGUGCAGCUUUCUCCCAGAGCAGCUGCAGGAUCCUCUGGCUGACAGCUCUGCAUGGCUGGAGACUGACA